GAUGAACGCUAGCGGCAGGCUUAAUACAUGCAAGUCGAGGGGCAGCAUGAGUAGCAAUACUUGAUCGGCGACCGGCAAACGGGUGCGGAACACGUACGCAACCUUCCUUUAAGUGGAGCAUAGCCCGGGGAAACCCGGAUUAAUACUCCGUAAUAUUGUGAAGUGGCAUCACUUUACAAUUAUAGAUUUAUCGCUUAAAGAUGGGCGUGCGCCUGAUUAGGCAGUUGGCGGGGUAAUGGCCCACCAAACCUACGAUCAGUAACUGGCGUGAGAGCGCGACCAGUCACACGGGCACUGAGACACGGGCCCGACUCCUACGGGAGGCAGCAGUAAGGAAUAUUGGUCAAUGGACGCAAGUCUGAACCAGCCAUGCCGCGUGGAGGAUGAAGGUCCUCUGGAUUGUAAACUUCUUUUAUUUGGGACGAAAAAAGGCCUUUCUAGGUCGUCUGACGGUACCAGAUGAAUAAGCACCGGCUAACUCCGUG
This 485-nucleotide ribosomal RNA is filed under the name uncultured bacterium. Its description in RNAcentral is "bacterial SSU rRNA". It matches the Rfam family "Bacterial small subunit ribosomal RNA", at positions 28 to 507 of the family's 1533-position model. The record is from RNAcentral.